AGUGAACGCUGGCGGUAGGCCUAACACAUGCAAGUCGAACGGCAGCACAGUAAGAGCUUGCUCUUACGGGUGGCGAGUGGCGGACGGGUGAGGAAUACAUCGGAAUCUACUUUUUCGUGGGGGAUAACGUAGGGAAACUUACGCUAAUACCGCAUACGACCUACGGGGGAAAGCAGGGGAUCUUCGGACCUUGCGCGAUUGAAUGAGCCGCUGUCGGAUUAGCUAGUUGGCGGGGUAAAGGCCCACCAAGGCGACGAUCCGUAGCUGGUCUGAGAGGAUGAUCGGCCACACUGGAACUGAGACACGGUCCAGACUCCUACGGGAGGCAGCAGUGGGGAAUAUUGGACAAUGGGCGCAAGCCUGAUCCAGCCAUACCGCGUGGGUGAAGAAGGCCUUCGGGUUGUAAAGCCCUUUUGUUGGGAAAGAAAAGCAGCAGGUUAAUACCCCGCUGUUCUGACGGUACCCAAAGAAUAAGCACCGGCUAACUUCGUG
Molecule: ribosomal RNA, 492 nt
Filed under: uncultured bacterium
Lineage: Bacteria
Description: partial 16S ribosomal RNA
Rfam family: Bacterial small subunit ribosomal RNA
Source: RNAcentral